Long non-coding RNA from Micropterus salmoides (largemouth bass), 715 nucleotides. RefSeq lists it as uncharacterized. The transcript is spliced from 4 exons. Lineage: Eukaryota; Metazoa; Chordata; Actinopteri; Centrarchiformes; Centrarchidae. The record is from RefSeq and is a predicted model, not a curated record.
UGAAGUUUCCUUUCAGAACUGAAAAAAACUUUGUGGCAUGCAAAAAGGGAAAAUACAGAAGUCUUACUUAUACUUUUGUCCUUUGCCAUGGACAGAGACUUGGCUUCUUCUUGGGCUAUGAAAUGAUCUUAUAUGUCUCUACUAGAUGUCUAAUAUACAUAGACAUCCCUAAUCCAACCAACGAGGAUGGAUAUUCAUUUUCAAUUUUCUCAGCUGAGAUGGUGAACCACUAUGUACCAGCGUGGACAGAGGAAAAGUUAGUAACUCACAGAUUUCAAGAAAAGAGAUUUCCAUCGAGUGUGUGGACAAUGCUGAAGGAUUUCCUGGUGUAAUCGUCUAUGACGAUAAAACAUUCCCCAUUUCUUCUCAGCGAGAUGCCAUAGCGCGGACUGCUUCUGGUGAUGGACAAGACUCUUACAGUCUUCAGGAGGAGGAGGAGGAGGAGGAGGAGGAGGAGGAGGGUGAAGAGGAUGACUGGAGGCAUCUACAGCCAUCAGGCAUCACUAUGACAAUAUUUUGUUGUAGAUUUGAUUUAUUUUUUCUCAUCAUAUGUUUUAUUGUUUGAAUAUUUGCUGCAACUAACGGUAACGGCCUUUCUGUGUGGAGUUUGCAUGUUCUCCCUGUGUCUGCAUGGGUUCUCUCUGGGUGCUCGGGCUUCCUCCCACCGUCCAAAGACAUGCGGACUAGGUUAAUUGGUGACCCUAAAUUGUCCUUA